Molecule: long non-coding RNA, 1192 nt
Organism: Oncorhynchus nerka (sockeye salmon)
Lineage: Eukaryota; Metazoa; Chordata; Actinopteri; Salmoniformes; Salmonidae
Exons: 3
Source: RefSeq, a predicted model, not a curated record
CAUCUUUGGUUCAUUGGUUGACACUGAGUGUCUGAUUGACAGGAACAACAGGUGAGGCUGUUUGUCUGAGCAGACAGUCAGAACGAAUGUAUGUGCACUUGAGCAUUUAGGCCUAUAUAUUUUUUGUCUUCUUUUAAUUAGUUAAUUAUGUUCAUUUAAAUAUUUUUAAUAUUUAUAUCUUCAUUUUCGUUUCAAAUUGUAUAAAUAGAUUCGGCUCUUCUGAAAUGCGAGCCGGCUCCCAACGUUCACCUACAAGACUCGUUCGCGAACGGCCCAAAGCAGUCUGGACUGGUUGAAGCAGAGUGGGAAGGAUUAUUUUGUUGCGUUUCAGUCUGCCGUGAAUCAUCAUAAUCCAUACACUGCAUAAACCUGCUCUCAGCCACCAGCAAAAGGAGAUGAUUGAGGGUGAACAUGCAACACAUCAGCUUUAGUUGUCUGGAGCCUGGUGGUGUUGUGGCCAUGGAGCUUUCACUUAGAUGGAACCAGGUUACAGCUGCUGUGCAAGGUUGACGUCCUUCCUCCUGCAAACAUAUUUUUGAGAAGAUCAGGACUUUUGCAAUGAAAAGGCCAUGGACAUUAUAUGUCCUGAUCCAAAGGGCAGAAUAGAAAUAUGCUCUCAGGCUAGAUUCCUUUGUUCAUAUCAUAACAUGACCUGAACAAAAGUUAUUCUCAGGAUCUUGUGAUAUAGGCCUAGGUCAAUAUAUUGUUUUUACCUAAGCCUUUGUGUUUGUGUGUUUUUAAGUUUUUCGUAAUUGCAGGCUACUACCUUUAGCACUUGAAGUUAAUAAAGUAUUGUUGAAAUAUUGUCUUUGUUUUUUAAGCACUACCUCACUGCUUUAGCACAUUGCCAUGGUCACGUGUUUCAAUGUGAAUUUUUUAAGAGACGGGUAGGUCUAAGCCGAUGCUAAAUGGGCGUAAACAAAGAACAGCACUGUAGCUGUUCAAUGUGAAAGGUUAUUUUUAUUAUACAGCAAUAGGCAAUGUAAUACUGUACAUGGUUUGCCUAAUGGGGUAACUUGGUAUUAGUAUUCCUAUAGAAAAGUAUUCCUUUUCUAAAUAUAUGUUUCCCAAGUAUUAAUGUAGAGUAUGUGUGAAAAUCACAGCAAAAUGUUUGAAUGCCCUUUUCUCCUAAAUGGGAUUUGAAGUUUAUCAAUUUUUAAAGCAGCAUUACUUAUCCAUGUUUCCUCCAACU